CCAAUAGCGUAUAUUAAAGUUGCUGCAGUUAAAAAGCUCGUAGUUGAAUUUCGGGACCGAUAUAUCGGUCGUGCCUCGGUACGUACUGGUAUUUUCGGUUUCUCCCUUCUGACGAACCUUGAUGUCAUUAAUUUGGUGUCUUGGGGAAUCAGGACUGUUACUUUGAAAAAAUUAGAGGGUUUAAAGCAGGCUCACGCUUGAAUACAUUAGCAUGGAAUAAUGAAAUAGGACGUUUGAUUCUAUUUUGUUGGUUUCUAGGAUCGACGUAAUGAUUAAUAGGGAUAGUUGGGGGCAUUAGUAUUCAAUUGUCAGAGGUGAAAUUCUUGGAUUUAUUGAAGACUAACUACUGCGAAAGCAUUUGCCAAGGAUGUUUUCAUUAAUCAAGAACGAAAGUUAGGGGAUCGAAGACGAUCAGAUACCGUCGUAGUCUUAACCAUAAACUAUGCCGACUAGGGAUCGGAUGAUGUUAAUUUUUUAAUGACUCAUUCGGCGCCUUACG
Molecule: ribosomal RNA, 499 nt
Filed under: uncultured Glomeromycotina
Lineage: Eukaryota; Fungi; Glomeromycota
Description: partial small subunit ribosomal RNA
Rfam family: Eukaryotic small subunit ribosomal RNA
Source: RNAcentral